ACAGAAAUUCGGCUGUUCCAAAGCAGCUGAGCUGGGUGGGCAGUCUCUUGUGGCUUGUUUUGGGGGAAUGUUGUGAAAUUUCCGAUUUGGCCUCCAGGCAGGGUCUCCGAGGAGCUUGCAAUGGACUCAUUUGCAAUGGUCAUUAUCUUAUGCGGAUGUUGCUGAUUACACUGACCUAAAGUCUGUUUUCUUUGACAUGUCAAAGUUGAAGAUGGAGAAAGUGCAGUGAGACUGCAAUACGUGACUUUGAGAAAGAAUGAAUAGCAAGUUCUUGUAAAAGGAGGAAAAGAGGCAUUUUGGCAGAGUGCCUUUCAAGGCCGUAAUGGGGGAAAUCUGAUUUCUCUGUUUUUAAAUGCGCUCUUUGCAGCAAUGCUCACAGGCUGCGGUGGUCGUGUGGAAACGUUUCAGUUUGUGAUGAAACGGGGCCUGAAUGUGCUACAGGUUCUGUAGCUUUACUUCUCCUUGUUGAGGAGGCAUUGCCAGGCUGUAGCACAAACCUGACCAGGCCUUUGGGGACUCUCUGGCGUAAGGAGCUUUUUUCUUGAGGAAGGAAAGGGUGCAUGGCUUCAUCCCAGGGAGUUUUUCCAUCUGUUUGUUAUGGUGUGCACGAGCAGAAGAUACACUUAGGGAAGGAGCUGGAAAUACUUCAGCAUCAUCCAGAGACAAAAGCGGUUAAUCCCAGAUGUCUUUUCUCCGUGAACAGCAGCAGGAUAAAGGAUGACUUUUUACAUCAGCUCUUUGAAAGACAGUUUUAUCACCCUGCACUGCAGCAUUUCCGAGCUCAGUAUGAAAACAGCGUAGACUUAGCAAGACUGCAUUUCUGAUGUAUUAUUGUGCUGCAAGUUCCUGGUCUUUGCAGCUGACUCAAAAGCCAGGGAAGAGGGAGCAAUAUCCUCUCCUCCUGCAGCUGACAAUCCUCAAACGUACACCACAACCAUUUUAACCGAGUUGAACGCCUCCAGGGGAGACAGUGAUGCUUUGUCACACGCAGAAAUGGAGACAUGACAAAUGAGGUACCGUUUCAUUGCUUUAAUUGCUGAGUGGACAGCUCAGGCCAGGGGUAUAGAAAUAUUGCCUAACUCCAGCUUUGCUGAUCUCAGGAUAUCCAACCCCAUCUUUCCCUCCUGCCUUCCCUCCUUGCUUUAGAGUGGUAAAAGCAAGUAUGGUCUGAGGGCUGGACCCCCAAGAGCCGUAAGGCAGCAGGCACAUAUGCAGAGAAGUGAGUAUCUUACCCCUCUUCCGCUUUUUUGGUGGGUUAGGAAAGAGUUAAAUGACAACAGAGGGAGAGGCUGUGCUAUUGUUCAGGCAUCCCUGGGUCCAGGGUGGCUGAUCUCUAUUCCCGGAUCUGCCUCUGGCUUCCUGCACGACCUUGGACCGGUCACUUACCUUUUCUUUUCCUCAGCUCCCAAAUUAUAACAUGGAAAUCAUUCUCUUCCUGUGGUGCCUCGUUCCCUGUGGGUUUUAGGGUGGCUGAGAUGAUGGGAGGAGGAGAAGGCAUUUCCACUGGAGAAACAUUUACACAGAGAGUAGCAUUUUUGGGCAUGUUCUUGUUCCCUCAGAUACAACACGGGCUGUGCAUAUGGUGAGAUUUGGGGUUUUUUUUAGUAGGCAAACCUGUGGUGAAAGUCAAAUUCCAUUUGUCGUUGGUGCAGCUGCCCCAGAGCGAUGCCAGCUGCAGUGAUGCUUUUCUUCACUAGAUGGUGCUUUUGAUCAAAGAUUUGAAUAACGGCAGUUCUCUUUCUGCACAGAAUUUCCGAAUUUUUCUUCCCUGGUCUCCAUUCUUUCCCCUCUUCUUUCUGUGCUUUAACACCACGGGGGACAGUUAAUGAUGCUGGAUAUUGAGCAAGGCUAAUCUGGUGGUAACACAGGCUCCAAGCCACCCGCGCCCACCAGCCAGCUUGUCUGCUGGGCUUUGGUUUUUGAAGCGUGUAUCAGUGCUGCUGGGCUGUGGCAGAGAAUUGAAUUCUUUCCGUGUUUUCUAUUCCCAUAAGGAAAAGGCUUCAAAGAGCAGGUCCCCUCCCCCUCUCUGCUGGUGAAGGGCAUUUAGGGAAGCUAGGAAAAAAAAAAAAUCCAGCUCUGACAGAGGCAUUUAUUUAACAAACCACUGCCUUUCCCUACCUUAGCAAAAGAUUGGUUGGUUUGGGUUUUUUUUUUUUAAAUAAAAAAGGGAAUUGCUGCGUUUAUACCCA
Molecule: long non-coding RNA, 2189 nt
Filed under: Calidris pygmaea (Spoon-billed sandpiper)
Lineage: Eukaryota; Metazoa; Chordata; Aves; Charadriiformes; Scolopacidae
Description: lncRNA (ENSCPGG00000006341.1)
Source: RNAcentral